AGUGAACGCUGGCGGUAGGCCUAACACAUGCAAGUCGAACGGCAGCACAGUAAGAGCUUGCUCUUACGGGUGGCGAGUGGCGGACGGGUGAGGAAUACAUCGGAAUCUACUUUUUCGUGGGGGAUAACGUAGGGAAACUUACGCUAAUACCGCAUACGACCUACGGGUGAAAGCAGGGGAUCUUCGGACCUUGCGCGAUUGAAUGAGCCGAUGUCGGAUUAGCUAGUUGGCGGGGUAAAGGCCCACCAAGGCGACGAUCCGUAGCUGGUCUGAGAGGAUGAUCAGCCACACUGGAACUGAGACACGGUCCAGACUCCUACGGGAGGCAGCAGUGGGGAAUAUUGGACAAUGGGCGCAAGCCUGAUCCAGCCAUACCGCGUGGGUGAAGAAGGCCUUCGGGUUGUAAAGCCCUUUUGUUGGGAAAGAAAAGCGGCAGGUUAAUACCCCGCUGUUCUGACGGUACCCAAAGAAUAAGCACCGGCUAACUUCGCG
RNAcentral lists this ribosomal RNA (492 nucleotides) under uncultured bacterium. RNAcentral describes it as "partial 16S ribosomal RNA". It matches the Rfam family "Bacterial small subunit ribosomal RNA", at positions 29 to 507 of the family's 1533-position model. The record is from RNAcentral.